CAUGCAAGUCGAACGGUAACAGGAAGAAGCUUGCUUCUUUGCUGACGAGUGGCGGACGGGUGAGUAAUUUCUGGGAAACUGCCUGAUGGAGGGGAUAACUACUGGAAACGGUAGCUAAUACCGCAUAACGUCGCAAGACCAAAGAGGGGGACCUUCGGGCCUCUUGCCAUCGGAUGUGCCCAGAUGGGAUUAGCUAGUAGGUGGGGUAACGGCUCACCUAGGCGACGAUCCCUAGCUGGUCUGAGAGGAUGACCAGCCACACUGGAACUGAGACACGGUCCAGACUCCUACGGGAGGCAGCAGUGGGGAAUAUUGCACAAUGGGCGCAAGCCUGAUGCAGCCAUGCCGCGUGUAUGAAGAAGGCCUUCGGGUUGUAAAGUACUUUCAGCGGGGAGGAAGGGAGUAAAGUUAAUACCUUUGCUCAUUGACGUUACCCGCAGAAGAAGCACCGGCUAACUCCGUGCCAGCAGCCGCGGUAAUACGGAGGGUGCAAGCGUUAAUCGGAAUUACUGGGCGUAAAGCGCACGCAGGCGGUUUGUUAAGUCAGAUGUGAAAUCCCCGGGCUCAACCUGGGAACUGCAUCUGAUACUGGCAAGCUUGAGUCUCGUAGAGGGGGGUAGAAUUCCAGGUGUAGCGGUGAAAUGCGUAGAGAUCUGGAGGAAUACCGGUGGCGAAGGCGGCCCCCUGGACGAAGACUGACGCUCAGGUGCGAAAGCGUGGGGGAGCAAACAGGAUUAGAUACCCUGGUAGUCCACGCCGUAAACGAUGUCGACUUGGAGGUUGUGCCCUUGAGGCGUGGCUUCCGGAGCUAACGCGUUAAGUCGACCGCCUGGGGAGUACGGCCGCAAGGUUAAAACUCAAAUGAAUUGACGGGGGCCCGCACAAGCGGUGGAGCAUGUGGUUUAAUUCGAUGCAACGCGAAGAACCUUACCUGGUCUUGACAUCCACAGAACUUUCCAGAGAUGGAUUGGUGCCUUCGGGAACUGUGAGACAGGUGCUGCAUGGCUGUCGUCAGCUCGUGUUGUGAAAUGUUGGGUUAAGUCCCGCAACGAGCGCAACCCUUAUCUUUUGUUGCCAGCGGUCCGGCCGGGAACUCAAAGGAGACUGCCAGUGAUAAACUGGAGGAAGGUGGGGAUGACGUCAAGUCAUCAUGGCCCUUACGACCAGGGCUACACACGUGCUACAAUGGCGCAUACAAAGAGAAGCGACCUCGCGAGAGCAAGCGGACCUCAUAAAGUGCGUCGUAGUCCGGAUUGGAGUCUGCAACUCGACUCCAUGAAGUCGGAAUCGCUAGUAAUCGUGGAUCAGAAUGCCACGGUGAAUACGUUCCCGGGCCUUGUACA
RNAcentral lists this ribosomal RNA (1343 nucleotides) under uncultured bacterium. Its description in RNAcentral is "bacterial SSU rRNA". It matches the Rfam family "Bacterial small subunit ribosomal RNA", at positions 54 to 1387 of the family's 1533-position model. The record is from RNAcentral.